CAGCCGCCGCGGUAAUACCGGCGGCCCGAGUGGCGGUCACUAUUAUUGGGCUUAAAGCGUCCGUAGCCGGGGUGGGAAGUCCUCCGGGAAAUCUGGCCGCUUAACGGUCAGAAUGCCGGAGGAUACUCCCAGCCUAGGGAGCGGGGGAGGCCGAGGGUAUUCCCGGGGGAGGGGUGAAAUCCUAUAAUCCCGGGAGGACCACCUGUGGCGAAGGCGCUCGGCUGGAACGCGUCCGACGGUGAGGGACGAAGGCCAGGGGAGCAAACCGGAUUAGAUACCCGGGUAGUCCUGGCUGUAAACGAUGCGGACUUUGUGUCGGACAAGCUAUGAGCUUGUCCGGUGCCGGAGGGAAACCGUUAAGUCCGCCGCCUGGGGAGUACGGCCGCAAGGCUGAAACUUAAAGGAAUUGGCGGG
This 414-nucleotide ribosomal RNA is filed under the name uncultured microorganism. Its description in RNAcentral is "bacterial SSU rRNA". It matches the Rfam family "Archaeal small subunit ribosomal RNA", at positions 459 to 872 of the family's 1478-position model. The record is from RNAcentral.